AAUGAACGCUGGCGGCGUGCCUAACACAUGCAAGUCGAACGGACUUACAUUGAAGCCUAGCGAUAUGUAAGUUAGUGGCGGACGGGUGAGUAACGCGUGGGUAACCUGCCUUGUACUGGGGGACAACAGUUGGAAACGACUGCUAAUACCGCAUAAGCGCACAGCUUCGCAUGAAACAGUGUGAAAAACUCCGGUGGUACAAGAUGGACCCGCGUCUGAUUAGCUGGUUGGUGAGGUAACGGCCCACCAAGGCGACGAUCAGUAGCCGGCCUGAGAGGGUGAACGGCCACAUUGGGACUGAGACACGGCCCAAACUCCUACGGGAGGCAGCAGUGGGGAAUAUUGCACAAUGGGGGAAACCCUGAUGCAGCAACGCCGCGUGAGUGAAGAAGUAUUUCGGUAUGUAAAGCUCUAUCAGCAGGAAAGAAAA
This 430-nucleotide ribosomal RNA is filed under the name uncultured bacterium. RNAcentral describes it as "bacterial SSU rRNA". It matches the Rfam family "Bacterial small subunit ribosomal RNA", at positions 29 to 451 of the family's 1533-position model. The record is from RNAcentral.